CUUUGAUUUCCCAACUGAAGUACUGGACAUCGCCAACUGUGUAUAUAAAAACAAUAGUGCUGUUUUGACUGUGAAUUACCGUAAGCACAGGAUUAAAACCCGUUAUUCCUUUUAUUUACAUUGCUGAAACAGCUCAACGAUCAAGAAUGAUAUAUGUCGAAGUACAGCUACAGUAUACUGUUAUCACACGCCAAGACUCCUCGGUGCGUGCGGUACAACUUGAAU
Non-coding RNA from Paramuricea clavata, 225 nucleotides. The record is from the annotation of a GenBank genome assembly. Lineage: Eukaryota; Metazoa; Cnidaria; Anthozoa; Malacalcyonacea; Plexauridae.